RNAcentral lists this non-coding RNA (147 nucleotides) under Chlorocebus sabaeus (green monkey). The record is from Rfam by way of RNAcentral. Lineage: Eukaryota; Metazoa; Chordata; Mammalia; Primates; Cercopithecidae.
GCCGGGUGUGGUGGCGGCGCCUGUAGUCCCAGCUACUUGGGAGGCUGAGGCAGAAGAAUCGCUUGAACCCGGGAGGCGGAGCUUGCAGUGAGCCAACAUCGCGCCACUGUGCUCCACCCUGGGUGACAGAGCGAGACUCUGUCUCCA